GGUUUUGUUUUUGGGAGCUCACUGGCUUCGGAGUCGUAGGAACUCCGAAGUUAAGCGAGUUGGGGGCUAGAGCAAUCCCAAGAUGGGUGACCCACUGGGAACCUCCUAGAAACAAAACCG
This 120-nucleotide ribosomal RNA is filed under the name Prunus dulcis (almond). Lineage: Eukaryota; Viridiplantae; Streptophyta; Magnoliopsida; Rosales; Rosaceae. The record is from RNAcentral.